RNAcentral lists this ribosomal RNA (468 nucleotides) under uncultured bacterium. RNAcentral describes it as "partial 16S ribosomal RNA". It matches the Rfam family "Bacterial small subunit ribosomal RNA", at positions 28 to 507 of the family's 1533-position model. The record is from RNAcentral.
GACGAACGCUGGCGGCGUGCUUAACACAUGCAAGUCGAACGGAAAGGCCCUGCUGGGGUGGGGUGCUCGAGUGGCGAACGGGUGAGUAACACGUGAGUAACCUGCCCUUGACUUUGGGAUAACGUCAGGAAACUGGGGCUAAUACCGGAUAGGAGCUCCUGCGGCAGGGUGGGGGUUGGAAAGUUGCGGCGGUUGGGGAUGGACUCGCGGCUGAUCAGCUUGUGGGUGGGGUAGUGGCUUACCAAGGCUUUGACGGGUAGCCGGCCUGAGAGGGUGACCGGCCCCCUUAGGCCUGCGAUACGGCCCAGACUCCUACGGUAGGCAGCAGUGGGGAAUAUUGCACAAUGGGCGGAAGCCUGAUGCAGCAACGCCGCGUGCGGGAUGACGGCCUUCGGGUUGUAAACCGCUUUCGCCUGUGACGAAGCGUGAGUGACGGUAAUGGGUAAAGAAGCACCGGCUAACUACGUG